GGCUUGAAGAAGAAUAAUUUCAGGUYUGACCUGCCCAAUGAAUAGUUAAAUGGCCGCGGUAUAUUGACCGUGCAAAGGUAGCGUAAUCAUUAGUUUUUUAAUUGAGAGCUUGUAUGAAGGGUUUAAUGAGAAAAUAACUGUCUCUAUAGGAAUUGAUUAGAAUUUUAUUUUUAAGUUAAAAAGCUUAAAUAUUUAUAGAAGACGAGAAGACCCUAUAGAGUUUUAUAUUUUAAAUUUAAAUUAAAAUUUUAGACGAUGAAUUUUUUUUGCUUUAAAGUAUUUAGUUGGGGUGACAGAAAAAUUAGUUAAACUUUUUUAAUGAUUAAACAUUGAUUUAUGGGUUUUUGAUCCUUAUUUAAAGAUUAAAAGAAAAACUACCUUAGGGAUAACAGCGUAAUUUUAUUUAGAGUUCUUAUCAAAAAUAAAGAUUGCGACCUCGAUGUUGGAUUAAAAUGAAUUACUGGUGUAGUGGCUAGCUAAUUAGGUCUGUUCGACUUUUAAAAUUUUACAUGAUCUGAGUUUAAACCGGUGUGAG
This 535-nucleotide ribosomal RNA is filed under the name Trigonopterus sp. 537 AR-2022a. Its description in RNAcentral is "partial large subunit ribosomal RNA". The record is from RNAcentral. Lineage: Eukaryota; Metazoa; Arthropoda; Insecta; Coleoptera; Curculionidae.